GCGUGCCUAAUACAUGCAAGUAGAACGCUGAAGAGAGGAGCUUGCUCUUCUUGGAUGAGUUGCGAACGGGUGAGUAACGCGUAGGUAACCUGCCUUGUAGCGGGGGAUAACUAUUGGAAACGAUAGCUAAUACCGCAUAACAAUGGAUGACACAUGUCAUUUAUUUGAAAGGGGCAAUUGCUCCACUACAAGAUGGACCUGCGUUGUAUUAGCUAGUAGGUGAGGUAAUGGCUCACCUAGGCGACGAUACAUAGCCGACCUGAGAGGGUGAUCGGCCACACUGGGACUGAGACACGGCCCAGACUCCUACGGGAGGCAGCAGUAGGGAAUCUUCGGCAAUGGGGGCAACCCUGACCGAGCAACGCCGCGUGAGUGAAGAAGGUUUUCGGAUCGUAAAGCUCUGUUGUAAGUCAAGAACGGGUGUGAGAGUGGAAAGUUCACACUGUGACGGUAGCUUACCAGAAAGGGACGGCUAACUACGUGCCAGCAGCCGCGGUAAUACGUAGGUCCCGAGCGUUGUCCGGAUUUAUUGGGCGUAAAGCGAGCGCAGGCGGUUUGAUAAGUCUGAAGUUAAAGGCUGUGGCUCAACCAUAGUUCGCUUUGGAAACUGUCAAACUUGAGUGCAGAAGGGGAGAGUGGAAUUCCAUGUGUAGCGGUGAAAUGCGUAGAUAUAUGGAGGAACACCGGUGGCGAAAGCGGCUCUCUGGUCUGUAACUGACGCUGAGGCUCGAAAGCGUGGGGAGCGAACAGGAUUAGAUACCCUGGUAGUCCACGCCGUAAACGAUGAGUGCUAGGUGUUGGAUCCUUUCCGGGAUUCAGUGCCGCAGCUAACGCAUUAAGCACUCCGCCUGGGGAGUACGACCGCAAGGUUGAAACUCAAAGGAAUUGACGGGGGCCCGCACAAGCGGUGGAGCAUGUGGUUUAAUUCGAAGCAACGCGAAGAACCUUACCAGGUCUUGACAUCCCGAUGCUAUUUCUAGAGAUAGAAAGUUACUUCGGUACAUCGGUGACAGGUGGUGCAUGGUUGUCGUCAGCUCGUGUCGUGAGAUGUUGGGUUAAGUCCCGCAACGAGCGCAACCCCUAUUGUUAGUUGCCAUCAUUCAGUUGGGCACUCUAGCGAGACUGCCGGUAAUAAACCGGAGGAAGGUGGGGAUGACGUCAAAUCAUCAUGCCCCUUAUGACCUGGGCUACACACGUGCUACAAUGGUUGGUACAACGAGUUGCGAGUCGGUGACGGCGAGCUAAUCUCUUAAAGCCAAUCUCAGUUCGGAUUGUAGGCUGCAACUCGCCUACAUGAAGUCGGAAUCGCUAGUAAUCGCGGAUCAGCACGCCGCGGUGAAUACGUUCCCGGGCCUUGUACACACCGCCCGUCACACCACGAGAGUUUGUAACACCCGAAGUCGGUGAGGUAACCUUUUGGAGCCAGCCGCCUAAGGUGGGACAGAUGAUUGGGGUGAAG
This 1459-nucleotide ribosomal RNA is filed under the name Streptococcus thermophilus. RNAcentral describes it as "bacterial SSU rRNA". It matches the Rfam family "Bacterial small subunit ribosomal RNA". The record is from RNAcentral. Lineage: Bacteria; Bacillati; Bacillota; Bacilli; Lactobacillales; Streptococcaceae.